RNAcentral lists this long non-coding RNA (2220 nucleotides) under Daphnia pulicaria. RNAcentral describes it as "uncharacterized LOC124338369". The record is from RNAcentral. Lineage: Eukaryota; Metazoa; Arthropoda; Branchiopoda; Diplostraca; Daphniidae.
CUCUAAUCUCCGGAUAAAAGCGAAGAACGUUGGGGCAGGACGUUUCAAAUGAGUCGUUGCAGUGGAAGCGUCAACACGAGUUACACUACACGGCCAACAAGAGUAGGUGGUGACGUCGACGGUCGACUUGGCGGAUGUGGUGAGGUGGCGAUUGUAUAACCAAUGUAUGACAAGAGGAGGACGAUUGCAUUUUUGAAUAUCUCAUUCAUUAUUUUCCGCUUCUCCGCGGCCUCAGAAUCAAGAGCCGGGAGCAGUAAUCCUGCCUCCCUUCCGGAAUCAUCAACUGUCAACUGUCAACAACCAUUGCCCAGCCUAAUUGUGUCCAAUAGGUCAACCUGUUUGGACGGAUAUUGGACCAACUACUGUAUCUUCCUCCUCCAAAUGUGAAUGGAUUCACGAGCAUGUCCUGCAGUACUCGCCCUCGUUUAUUGUCUUGGCGUCCACCUGGAUUUCUUCUGCUGUGUGAAUGCGGGGCACCUGCGACGGUGUGUCGAGCGUCAAUUCCCAGUCUCCGGCUUCAAGUUUAUCGAGUCUCACGCUGGCGAUCCGACUCUCCGCGCCUUCCCAUUGGUCGAUCCGAUUUUUGAUCAUUUUUGAUCGACGCCAUCGUCCAUAAUCGAGGCAAACGCAAAACAGUCAGAGCUCGUCAGCUGGGCUUUAAAUCGUCUGUCGGGAUCAUUAAUAAAUGGGCUGGAUUGAGUCGAAACAAAAACACUAAAGAAUUGCACAUCUCUCCGCUGAAAUCCAGCUGAAACCGAUUGCAGUCGGCCGUUUCGAAGUUGAAAACAUUUAUCUGGCAGCAGCGCCUAGUCGAAAACAAAAUGUCUGACUGUCAACGUCAAGUGUCUCCACAGUACACACCCAACUUUAUCUGCAAAAGUGUUGAUGCUGCAGUUUAAAUCGACUCUGUGAUGAAACUAGUUUUAGGAAAAGAAGGGCCUCUAUGAAGAAGAAAGAAUCAAUCGGUCCAAAUCAGGUGUUGAUUAUGAUGCUGGCAUUCUAGUUACAAAUGGAAAGCUUUGCAUACUUGCAGUCUCACAGUUUGGUUACUCCCUUUCGUGGUUCAAUUCCAAUCGAAUCAUCUUUCGAUUCAAUCGAGGCCUGGCUCGUCCCAACAUUUCAACAUUUUCUUCCGUCGCAAAUUCUCGUCGCAUUUGGGCGACCUGGACGCAACCAUUCGACUCUCUUGGAAAGUGAACAGACGAUCCAGGGAGAUAUCGUGACAAUCUAGUGCUUGUUGUGGAGAUGUCAUAGUGCUCUGUUAUCCAGUUCAAAUGUGUUGUUGAAAGUUCGCCUUCUCGUCAUCGUCUAAUAGGAUUUGGUACUCGUUGAGUCCAUUGUGAAUGGUUGGUGGUUUCAUUUCACUGUGGAACAAGAUUUAAUUUCGGUCUUUUUUCUUGGGUUUAGUGGUGUUUUACCUGGGUGCGUGCAUGGCGAUGUCGGCGGCCAAUGGACAGAACAACCGCCUUCACUUAUCAUUUGGAGUGACCGACAACCCGUCGAAUUCGAAUGCAGAGACACCAGCAGUUCAUUAUCAUACUAUACUGUACAGAUCAAAAAGGGGACGGAAGCCAAUUGGAAUGCCGCUUGUUCGUAAGGAGGGAAUCACAAUAAAUGGACGAGUGACUGGCAACAUUUUCUUCUUCUCCUCAGUCUCUGAUUGUUGUCUUAAUGCCAUUUUAUGCACUGCUGCUACUACAAAAAGGGUUUACUUUGCUCAAGGCAGAAGAUGACGCCUUCCAGUUUUACUUGAACUCUGAAGCCUCUAAUUCCAUAUGAAGUAACGAACAAGCAGGAAUCCAGAGCUUUCAUCGGUUGUUGAAUUCCCCUAAAAUCAAUCCUGGACGCUCCAUUGUACCUCAAUUCAACAAUCAAUUUUUGUCUUUCGUUUAUCAGGUGAAAGUUCGCAAUCACGCUUGAAAUGAUCAAAUCAACAUCAAUAAAGAUUUAUCGAUCAAAUCAACGCCGGCUACAUUUAGAGCCGCUUUAAAUCCCUUCCUGCAACAAGCCAAGGUUUAUAUUUCGGGUAAUGACGAGUGUAGGAUGGAUCCCACAAUUGGACAAUACGUCAUAGACUCAAAUAUCUGUGUUAGUACUCCUGGCAAAUUCACAUGCACAGGUGAUGUCGGCGGUCCAGUAGUUGUUCUAUCGUCGACGGGGACCUGGACUUUGGUUGGAAUCAACAGCUACACCAAGGACUGCGCUUCCAAUGGCCUCAAA